This is a long non-coding RNA of Amblyraja radiata (thorny skate), 140 nucleotides long. RefSeq lists it as uncharacterized. Lineage: Eukaryota; Metazoa; Chordata; Chondrichthyes; Rajiformes; Rajidae. The record is from RefSeq and is a predicted model, not a curated record. The transcript is spliced from 3 exons.
AGAUCGCUCAUACUCGCAUUGGAGUUUAUAAGAAUGUGGGGGAACCUCAUUGAAACAAACUGAAUAUUGAAAGACUUGGAUAGAGUGGAUGUGGAGAGGAUGUUUCCACUGGCGGGAAAGUCUGGGACAAGAGGUCAAAG